GAUGUAGCGCAGCUUGGUAGCGCGUUUGUUUUGGGUACAGAGGGCCAUAGGUUCGAAUCCUACUUG
Phoenix dactylifera (date palm) is the source of this 66-nucleotide non-coding RNA. The record is from the annotation of a RefSeq genome assembly. Lineage: Eukaryota; Viridiplantae; Streptophyta; Magnoliopsida; Arecales; Arecaceae.